RNAcentral lists this ribosomal RNA (253 nucleotides) under uncultured bacterium. RNAcentral's name for it is "partial 16S ribosomal RNA". It matches the Rfam family "Bacterial small subunit ribosomal RNA", at positions 524 to 776 of the family's 1533-position model. The record is from RNAcentral.
GACGAACCGUGCGAACGUUGUUCGGAAUCACUGGGCUUAAAGGGCGCGUAGGCGGGCCCACAAGUCCGGGGUGAAAUCUUUCGGCUUAACCGGAAAAGUGCCUUGGAUACUGGGGGCCUUGAGGGAGGCAGGGGCGGAUGGAACUUCCGGUGGAGCGGUGAAAUGCGUUGAUAUCGGAAGGAACGCCGGUGGCGAAAGCGAUCCGCUGGACCUCUUCUGACGCUGAGGCGCGAAAGCCAGGGGAGCGAACAGG